Molecule: ribosomal RNA, 253 nt
Filed under: uncultured bacterium
Lineage: Bacteria
Description: partial 16S ribosomal RNA
Rfam family: Bacterial small subunit ribosomal RNA
Source: RNAcentral
UACGUAUGGAGCAAGCGUUAUCCGGAUUUACUGGGUGUAAAGGGAGCGCAGGCGGCUUUGCAAGUCUGAUGUGAAAGGCCGGGGCUCAACCCCGGGACUGCAUUGGAAACUGUAAAGCUAGAGUGCCGGAGGGGUAAGCGGAAUUCCUAGUGUAGCGGUGAAAUGCGUAGAUAUUAGGAGGAACACCAGUGGCGAAGGCGGCUUACUGGACGGUAACUGACGCUGAGGCUCGAAAGCGUGGGGAGCAAACAGG